GCUCCCAUCUCGUCUCCUGCCCCGGGCCGCCGUCGGCUGCCGGCCCUUCCGCGUGGGACUGCGGGAUGAAGCGCGGCGAGACGCGGCCGGAGCGCGGCUGGAAGCGCUGGUGAAGUCCGGCUCCGAUUUGCGUCGCUCGGAAGAACCCGCGUCUUCCUGCGGCGCUGCCCUGAGCGCCCCUGCGCUUUGUCUUUCCCGGAGGCCUUUCCUCGGCUACUGGCUGUUAAUGCUUCACCCACAAAACCUGAACAAGCCGCGCCGCACGAUCUGUUUAAACGCAGCCUGUGCGUGAGGAUGCUUCAUAUCCCCGUGUGGAAGCAUACACAUGUUUCAUCAGUCACAAAAACUUGGCUGGAGAAAGACAAAUCAGGAGGUUACAGACGGUGAUCAUUUUCUGAAGCUGUCUCUGCCCUGCGCUCUAUUUCUGACAGGUCACAGUGAAGCACUGCAUCUGAGCACAAGUUUAUUAUCUAAGUAUGGCUUGACUGGAAUGGAUUUGAGGUGCAUUUUCUGGUCCUUUCUUAAAUAUCUGACUCUAUGGACAUGUCCUGCCCAGCAUUACUUUGGGACAGGGCUGAGGUCUGAAAGUACGUGGCACAUGGAAAUGAAGUGCUGACGUGUUGGGGCAGACGGGGCUCUCACUUCCCGUUUGGCGUGGCGACAGUUCAAGUUGCUGUGCAGGCACAGAUCAGGCAGUUGUGUGAAGGAUGGCCUGGACUUUUAACAUACACAUAGCCAGAGCUAUGGGUGAAGAACACUAAAAAGAUGGAGCGCUGUGCUGUACAACAGCAGGUUGGUCACUGCUUUCAGGGACUGUGCCAGAAGGUUUCUUGGCACCCUGGGGACUCCCCGCCCCAAGCACUGCCAUUUCCAGGUGCACCCUUUCCCCGCUAACUGCAGCUGCUUGUUUCUGAGCCUCUUUGUGAUCCGGCCUCCUCCAGGGCUCAGCUUCACCACAAGCUUCCCCAUCGUGGGAUCCACCGCUCGGCUGCCAGGAGGCAGGCAGCAGUUACAUCACUGCUCAGCAUUGAUUAAGCAGCAUGUGACGCAACUCAGCAACCUGAACCUUAAGCCACAUACCUGUAAUAAGUCCCUUACACAGCCAAUCACAUUUUAUCCCCUCUCAUUCUCAUCUGUUUGACUUGAGCAUGUACCAAGCAUAUGCUUACCCCAUUAUCUGCAGUGCAGUGUGUUCAAUUCCAGCUGUACAUCUGAAGUGUUGGCAUUUUUCUGAGCUGUCCCUCCUGCUGCAACACCACUCACGUUUUGUGCAAACGCUAUGAGCCCUUAAACAGACUGCAGACAUGUUCCCAAAAUUCCCACUACUUCAGCUGCAAAGAUCCACUGAUAACUUUUGGUUCAGAGCUGAGGAUCACUGUCUUAGCCUGCAGAAAACACCUCACCUGAUCUGAUCUGAUUUGGCAAUUCUUCUGCUUGGGGGCAUAGCACGAACCCUGGAAGCCUGCAUCUUCUCCAGUUCAUGAUGCUGCACCCUGAUUGUGUCAACAGUAUCAGCACUUUCACUUAUAAUUGCUUCAGGCUCUGCUUCCUCUGCUGGCUCAGCAAGAGCAGAGGUAGCUGAACAUGCCUUUACAAGGACCAAGCUAAGACGCAGGUCUCUGCUAAUAUGAAGCAAUGCCAUAGGAGUGCCUGUGCUGUUUCUGCCUGCUCUGUGGUAUACAACAUUUCUCAGAGAUGAAGGAGCACAGAGAUGGGAGGAAGUUUAUGAGACAGAGGAGGCCUUGGUCCUGCUGCAGCCAGCAUCCCAGGCACGCUGGGGUGGUCUAAGGUGCCCUCAUGUCAGAGCUCUGCAGUGAACCAACUGGCACUCUGACAGCUGUGGCCUCAGUGCUGGAGCGUGCGUGGCUGCAAAUCAUGCUCUGGUCCAUAUUGACCAAGAUUUGUUGUAGUUGAAUGUAGCCCCAUUAAUUUGCAAGGUGGGUCACUUGUGUCUGCUGAGUGUCCUACUGUAACACAUACGAUGGGCUUUCAAAGUAUGCUUUUAAUACUUAGUAUAUCUUCUUUAAAUGUCAUGGGAUUACUUGGAGGCCAGGUGUGGAUGCUCACAGUUAAGAGAGUUUGGCAGCUGUUGCACAGA
Meleagris gallopavo (turkey) is the source of this 2098-nucleotide non-coding RNA. The record is from RefSeq and is a predicted model, not a curated record. NCBI's taxonomy places the organism in Eukaryota, Metazoa, Chordata, Aves, Galliformes, Phasianidae.